GAGUAACACGUGAGUAACCUGCCCUUGACUCUGGGAUAAGCCUGGGAAACUGGGUCUAAUACUGGAUAUGACCAAUUGGUGCAUGCCAUGUUGGUGGAAAGCUUUAUUGCGGUUUUGGAUGGACUCGCGGCCUAUCAGCUUGUUGGUGGGGUAAUGGCCUACCAAGGCGACGACGGGUAGCCGGCCUGAGAGGGUGGACGGCCACACUGGGACUGAGACACGGCCCAGACUCCUACGGGAGGCAGCAGUGGGGAAUAUUGCACAAUGGGCGCAAGCCUGAUGCAGCGACGCCGCGUGGGGGAUGAAGGCCUUCGGGUUGUAAACCUCUUUCAGUAGGGAAGAAGCGUAAGUGACGGUACCUGCAGAAGAAGCGCCGGCUAACUACGUGCCAGCAGCCGCGGUAAUACGUAGGGCGCAAGCGUUAUCCGGAAUUAUUGGGCGUAAAGAGCUCGUAGGCGGUUUGUCGCGUCUGCCGUGAAAGUCCGGGGCUUAACUCCGGAUCUGCGGUGGGUACGGGCAGACUAGAGUGAUGUAGGGGAGACUGGAAUUCCUGGUGUAGCGGUGAAAUGCGCAGAUAUCAGGAGGAACACCGAUGGCGAAGGCAGGUCUCUGGGCAUUAACUGACGCUGAGGAGCGAAAGCAUGGGGAGCGAACAGGAUUAGAUACCCUGGUAGUCCAUGCCGUAAACGUUGGGCACUAGGUGUGGGGGACAUUCCACGUUUUCCGCGCCGUAACUAACGCAUUACGUGCCCCGCCGGGGGAGACCGCCGCAAGCUAAAA
Molecule: ribosomal RNA, 780 nt
Filed under: Arthrobacter sp. BAR82
Lineage: Bacteria; Bacillati; Actinomycetota; Actinomycetes; Micrococcales; Micrococcaceae
Description: bacterial SSU rRNA
Rfam family: Bacterial small subunit ribosomal RNA
Source: RNAcentral